This 73-nucleotide transfer RNA is filed under the name Canis lupus familiaris (dog). It matches the Rfam family "tRNA". From Rfam's summary of the family: Transfer RNA (tRNA) molecules are approximately 80 nucleotides in length. Their secondary structure includes four short double-helical elements and three loops (D, anti-codon, and T loops). Further hydrogen bonds mediate the characteristic L-shaped molecular structure. tRNAs have two regions of fundamental functional importance: the anti-codon, which is responsible for specific mRNA codon recognition, and the 3' end, to which the tRNAs corresponding amino acid is attached (by aminoacyl-tRNA synthetases). tRNAs cope with the degeneracy of the genetic code in two manners: having more than one tRNA (with a specific anti-codon) for a particular amino acid; and 'wobble' base-pairing, i.e. permitting non-standard base-pairing at the 3rd anti-codon position. RNAcentral also lists the same sequence under 1 other name. Lineage: Eukaryota; Metazoa; Chordata; Mammalia; Carnivora; Canidae. The record is from Rfam by way of RNAcentral.
GCCUGGCUGGCUCAGUCUGUAGAGCAUGAGAUUCUUGACUUCGGAGUCUUGAGUUCAAACCCCAUGUUGGGCU